This 200-nucleotide microRNA precursor is filed under the name Paramuricea clavata. Lineage: Eukaryota; Metazoa; Cnidaria; Anthozoa; Malacalcyonacea; Plexauridae. The record is from RNAcentral.
AAAUAUUUCUUCUGAGAUCUUGUCUGGAUCGAUAGGAGUUUUCUUCUCUUGGCCCGGUUGUUCAAAGGUGGGUGAGCGCUAACCCUGGGUUAAAAUUUAACCUGCUGUUUUAGUUUGUGUAUUUCUGCACGUUUGUUUCUCUCAAAACGUCAGAGAAGAAAACUCCUAUCGAUCCUGACAAGAUCUCUGAAGAAAUAUUU